GCACCUCAUAAAACGGGUGCCGGGAUUGCAACCCCCGCUGACUACACAAGCGCACAACCGCGCCAGCGGUUUUUUU
This 76-nucleotide small RNA is filed under the name Escherichia coli. RNAcentral's name for it is "isrK". It matches the Rfam family "isrK Hfq binding RNA". RNAcentral also lists the same sequence under 1 other name. Lineage: Bacteria; Pseudomonadati; Pseudomonadota; Gammaproteobacteria; Enterobacterales; Enterobacteriaceae. The record is from RNAcentral.